AGUGAACGCUGGCGGUAGGCCUAACACAUGCAAGUCGAACGGCAGCACAGUAAGAGCUUGCUCUUACGGGUGGCGAGUGGCGGACGGGUGAGGAAUACAUCGGAAUCUACUUUUUCGUGGGGGAUAACGUAGGGAAACUUACGCUAAUACCGCAUACGACCUACGGGUGAAAGCAGGGGAUCUUCGGACCUUGCGCGAUUGCAUGAGCCGAUGUCGGAUUAGCUAGUUGGCGGGGUAAAGGCCCACCAAGGCGACGAUCCGUAGCUGGUCUGAGAGGAUGAUCAGCCACACGGGAACUGAGACACGGUCCAGACUCCUACGGGAGGCAGCAGUGGGGAAUAUUGGACAAUGGGCGCAAGCCUGAUCCAGCCAUACCGCGUGGGUGAAGAAGGCCUUCGGGUUGUAAAGCCCUUUUGUUGGGAAAGAAAAGCAGCAGGUUAAUACCCCGCUGUUCUGACGGUACCCAAAGAAUAAGCACCGGCUAACUUCGUG
This 492-nucleotide ribosomal RNA is filed under the name uncultured bacterium. Its description in RNAcentral is "partial 16S ribosomal RNA". It matches the Rfam family "Bacterial small subunit ribosomal RNA", at positions 29 to 507 of the family's 1533-position model. The record is from RNAcentral.